Molecule: ribosomal RNA, 254 nt
Filed under: uncultured bacterium
Lineage: Bacteria
Description: partial 16S ribosomal RNA
Rfam family: Bacterial small subunit ribosomal RNA
Source: RNAcentral
CACGUAGGGUGCGAGCGUUGUCCGGAAUUAUUGGGCGUAAAGAGCUCGUAGGCGGUGUGUCGCGUCGGCCGUGAAAACCUGCAGCUUAACUGUGGGCUUGCGGUCGAUACGGGCAUCACUGGAGUUCGGCAGGGGAGACUGGAAUUCCUGGUGUAGCGGUGAAAUGCGCAGAUAUCAGGAGGAACACCAGCGGCGAAGGCGGCGCUCUGGGCCGGUACUGACACUGAGGAGCGAAAGCGUGGGUAGCAAACAGG